RNAcentral lists this long non-coding RNA (28318 nucleotides) under Brassica napus (rape). Its description in RNAcentral is "long non-coding RNA (BNAP_LNC019634)". Lineage: Eukaryota; Viridiplantae; Streptophyta; Magnoliopsida; Brassicales; Brassicaceae. The record is from RNAcentral.
AACACUUUGCUGGAAGUGUUGACCCUCUUGAGGCGGAUGAGUGGAGGAGCAGGUUGGCUCGUAACUUCAGCUCAAGCCGCUGCCCAGAGGACUACCAGAAGGACAUUGCGGUUCACUUCUUGGAGGGAGAUGCCCACAACUGGUGGUUGGCUCUUGACAAGCGCACCAAUGGUACCAUAGAGCGCUUUGAGGACUUUGAGGUUGAGUUCAACCACAAGUACUUCCCAGCUGAGGCAUGGGACCGUUUGGAAGCUAAGUUCCUGGACUUGGUUCAGGGACGCAGGACGGUACGUGAGUACGAAGAAGAGUUCAACCGACUCAGGCGCUAUGUGGGUAAGGAGUUGGAGGACGAGGCAGUUCAGGUUCGCCGGUUCAUCAGAGGCCUUAGGGCUGAACUCCGGACCUAUUGCUCAGUCCGUACCUUCUCCACUGUGUCUGAGCUGGUUGAGAGGAUGGCCUUGCUUGAGGUCAACCUUGCGGAUGAGCAUAAGCAGAAGGUCAAAAGUGUGGUGGUGGCUUCAAGCCAGAGUGGUGACCGGAAGAGGAAAAGGGACCAGGCUGAAGAGGGUAAAACCUCAAGUGGUAGGCCUGUGUGUCCCAAGUGUGGCCGACACCAUGGAGGUGAAUGUUGGAGAGCAAUGGGAGCUUGUCUUCGAUGUGGUAAGAUGGAUCACUCAGCUCGGGACUGUCCUAGACAGGAGCAAGGAGCUGGUGGUGAUACCAGGACUUGCCACUACUGUGGAAAGAAGGGACAUCUCCGUAAGGAUUGUCCCAAGUUAGCAGCCGGGUCGAGCAAGGGCCGUGGUGAGGGCAACAAGCCAGACCAGAACCGCGGUCAGACCUCUGCACCCCGCGUCUAUGAGCUGUCCAAGGAUGAGGACAAGGCUGGACCAUUCCUCGCGAUCACUGGUAAUGUGUCUGAUCUUAUUCUUUUCAAUUCAGUAGAAUUGCAUGGUAUGGAACCUAGGACGGUUAGAUACUUAGUUUGGGUCAUGUGUAGGGACCCUAAGUAUUGGUGGUGUGGAAACACAUGUACUUUUCGAUACUGGAGCUACACAUAGUUUUGUGAGUCCAGGGAUGCUCGGAAAGGGGUUGUUCCAGUUGGGAACGGGGGAUUGUCCUGGGGUAGUGAAUGCGGCCGGUGGGCAAGUGAUGCAUUCGCUAGGGGUGAUUCAGGACGUCCCAGUAAUGAUCCAGGACAGGGUCAUGCCUGUGGAUCUUGUGGUAGUCCACCUAAAGAAUCACGAGGUGAUCUUGGGUAUGGACUGGCUUGGAAAGUAUCGGGCCACUCUUGACUGUCACCGGGGGCGUGUGCUUUUUGAGAGUGGGUGUGGGGCUCCGAUCAGGUUCCAAGGUAUACGUCCGAUCUCUGGAUGCUUGGUGGUGUCAGCUAUCCAUGUUGAGAGGAUGCUGAGGAAGGGUUGUGAGGCUUAUCUGGCCACAAUCGCCACUAAGGAGGUCGUAGGGGGUGGUGACCCGGAGGGAAUACCGCUGGUUGGUGAGUUCCAGGAUGUGUUUAGGGCGCUACAGGGCAUUCCCCCUGAUAGGUUGGAUCCAUUCAUAAUAGAACUCGAACCAGGGACGGCCCCAUUAUCCAAAAGUCCCUACAGAAUGGCUCCUGCCGAGAUGGCCGAGCUUAAGAAGCAACUUGAAGAGUUGCUGGAUAAGGGUUUCAUACGGCCUAGUGUGUCACCCUGGGGAGCACCAGUCCUCUUUGUGAAGAAGAAGGAUGGUAGCUUCAGAUUGUGUAUUGACUAUCGAGGGUUAAACCGGGUGACUGUGAAGAACAAGUACCCAUUGCCUCGGAUAGAUGAGUUGUUGGAUCAGCUCAAGGGUGCAAAAUGGUUUUCUAAAAUCGAUUUGGCUUCAGGGUAUCAUCAGAUUCCCAUUGAACCAAAUGAUGUAAGGAAGACAGCCUUCCGAACCAGGUAUGGCCACUAUGAGUUUGUGGUCAUGCCAUUUGGAUUAACCAAUGCACCAGCAGCUUUCAUGAAGAUGAUGAACAGCAUAUUCAGGGAUUUCCUGGAUGAGUUUGUAAUCAUCUUCAUUGAUGAUAUCUUGGUCUACUCCAAGACCAAAGAGGAUCAUGAGAGACAUCUAAGAGCAGUGUUGGGACGAUUGAGGGAACAACAGCUCUAUGCCAAAUUGAGCAAGUGCAGUUUUUGGCAAAGAAGUGUUGGGUUCCUGGGUCACAUUGUAUCCGACCAAGGUGUCUCCGUGGACCCGGAAAAGAUUAAGGCCAUACAAGAAUGGCCUAGACCUAAGAGUGCAACUGAAGUCAGGAGCUUUCUAGGUCUGGCCGGUUAUUACAGGAAGUUUGUCAAGGGGUUUGCCAGCUUGGCUCAACCUAUGACACAACUGACUGGGAAAGACGUGAGGUUUGUAUGGUCUGAGAAAUGUGAGGAAUGUUUCUCUGCACUUAAGCACAUGUUGACAAGUGCACCGGUAUUGGUGUUGCCAGAGGCAGACCAACCAUAUGUGGUUUACACAGACGCCUCCAUAACCGGAUUAGGAUGUGUAUUAACCCAACAUGGGAAGGUCAUUGCUUAUGCCUCUAGGCAGUUGAGGAAGCAUGAGGGGAACUAUCCAACCCACGACCUUGAGAUGGCCGCAGUGGUGUUCGCCCUCAAGAUAUGGCGAUCAUACUUGUAUGGUGCCAAGGUUCAGAUUUUGACCGACCACAAGAGUCUCAAGUAUAUAUUCACUCAACCUGAGUUGAAUUUGAGGCAAAGGAGAUGGAUGGAGUUCGUGGCCGAUUAUGAUCUGGAUAUUGCUUACCAUCCAGGUAAAGCAAACCUAGUGGCCGAUGCCUUAAGCCGUAGGAGAGCUGAGGUAUCAGCCGAGAGGGAAGCAGAGGUGCUGGAAGGGAUGGUUAGGACAUUGCAUUUAAACACACUGGCCAGCGAGGACGAGCCGUUGGGUUUAGAAGCAGUGAACCAGGCUGAUCUCCUUACCAGGAUCAGGCAAGCACAAAGCUUGGAUGAGAACCUCCAGAAGGUUGCUCUGAAUGAUAAAACCGAGUACCAGGUUGCGAGUGAUGGUACGAUUUUGGUCCAUGGGAGGAUCAGUGUUCCGAAUGUAAGGGAACUAAAGGAAGAGAUUAUGAGUCAGUCUCAUAAGUCUAAGUUCUCUGUGCACCCGGGACUGAACAAGAUGUACAAGGAUAUCAAGAGGUACUAUCAUUGGAUCCGUAUGAAGACGGAUGUGGCCGAGUGGGUGGCUAAGUGUCCUACUUGCCAACUCGUCAAGGCUGAGCACCAAGUACCCAGUGGAUUACUCCAGAAUCUACCUAUUCCAGAAUGGAAGUGGGAUCACAUCACCAUGGACUUUGUGUCAGGUUUUCCCAUGACCAGGAAUAGAAAGGAUUCGGUUUGGGUAGUGGUGGAUCGUCUGACCAAGUCAGCUCUGUUCAUACCAAUCAAGAAGACUGAUGGUGUGGAGCCCUUGGUACAGAUUUACAUGGAUCAGGUGGUACGCCUGCAUGGUGUACCAGCCAGUAUUGUGUCGGAUAGGGACCCUCGGUUCACUUCUUAUUUCUGGAAGGCUUUCCAAAAGGCCUUGGGAACAAGAGUGCACAUGAGCACAGCCUAUCACCCCCAAACGGAUGGUCAGUCUGAAAGAACCAUCCAGACGUUGGAAGACAUGUUAAGGGCUUGUGUCUUGGACUGGGGAAAUUCCUGGGAAAGACACUUGCCAUUGGUAGAGUUUGCUUACAACAACAGCUUCCAUACCAGUAUUGGGAUGUCGCCCUACGAAGCUUUGUACGGACGGCCCUGCAGGACACCAUUAUGCUGGACCCAAGUGGGGGAGCGCAGCAUGAUAGGACCUGAGAUAGUGGAGGAGACCACGGAGAAGAUUAAGUUCAUCCGUGACAAGAUGAAGGAGGCACAGGACCGUCACAAGUCUUAUGCGGAUAAGAGAAGGAAACAUGUUGAGUUUGAGGUGGACGACAUGGUCUACCUCAAGAUGAUUACUUUCAGAGGUCGGAAAAGGGUUUCUGGCCGAGGGAAGUUGGAUCCAAGGUACUUGGGUCCAUUCCGGAUCAUUGAGAGAGUUGGUUCGGUGGCUUACAAGCUUAACCUACCAACUGAGAUGGAAGCAUUUCAUAAUGUAUUCCAUGUGUCUCAAUUGAGAAAAUGUCUUUCAGAUCAAGACAUUGUGAUACCGGAAAUUCCAUCUGAUCUAGGCACGAACCUCACCUUGGAGACAAGGCCGGUUCGGAUUGUAGACAGGAUGGAAAAAGCAAUGAGGAACAAGACCAUUCAAAUGGUCAAAGUCGUGUGGGAAUGCAGUGGGCAAGAACAAGUCACUUGGGAAACCGAGAUGAGAAUGAAAGCUGACUAUCCAGAGUGGUAUGGUCAGUUUAUGAUGGAGACAAGUCUAGACUUGGAUUCGAGGACGAAUCCAUCUCAAGUGGGGGAGACUUGUCAUGUCCCUGAUUCUAGAUAGAGCCUUCGGGCACAGCCAUGGUACGGGGAGACGUGCUAGUCAGGUCGUAAGACCUAAAGACAAGCGUAUCAUGGCUGGAAUGGAUGGUUAAGUGCAUCAGUAUGCUGAGACUUGACCAGAAUCGGAUGGAGACAAGGAAAUAAGAGCUGGAUGAGUUCUAAGGCAGCUGGACGAUGAUGGGAAGCAGCUCAGUCAGCUAGGACAAGCUUAGUGUAGCUCACACUAGCUUGGGUCAGCUCCAGUAGCUGGAUCACUAGCUCCCUCAGCUGGGGAAGCUGGCACUCAGCUCAACUCAGCUGGGUGGAGUGUUAUGGUCCGGGCCAGUGUUGCCGGUCCAUGGGCGGUCAAGGGUCCGGCUGGGUGGUGGCUGAACCACUAAGGGCCUAUGGGUCUUUAUUGGGUCCGUGGGUCUUGGUGGAUGUACUUGGGAUGCAGAUUGAGGCAUUGGGCCUAUUUCCAGACAGCCCACACGCCAAAGGGAGCAGUUGGACGGUUGAUGGGCGAAAAGGUGGGAAUUGGGCAGUUUGUGUCUUUUCCCUUCCAACCGGUUGCAACUGUCCGCCCAGGCAGUUAUUGGCCGACCUUUCUCUAUAAAUACAGACACUUGGGUGUCGAAAAUGGCAUCAAAUUCCUUAGGGAAAACUCUGCCAAAAUCGUGACAGAAAGAAAGAGAGAAAGAGAGAAGAAGGCCGGCCAAACCGAGACUGUGGGUGGUGGUGAUCGGACUCCGACCAGAAGUUGGUCUGUGGGAAGAGGAGAGCAUUCGGUGAUGGCAACCAGAGGCAAGGAGAAGGAUCUGGAGAAGGGCUUGAGCACUCCUGAGCGCACGCCCAAGGUGAGUGGGAUGGACCGAACCAUCCUACCAUGGCCGCGGUGGAAUUCCGUGUAGGCUGUGGUCGGAUUGGUUGGACCAGACCCAUCUCUUCCUUUUCCCUUACUAUUCUACUUCAUCUCUUCUAUGUUCUGAAUGUGUUGGAUGAUUCAGACACGUUCUGACUGAGCCAUGGUCUUGGUCGGUACCCAGAAACCCUCCAUGGCCUUGGUUGGGCUGGUGUGUUGAGAUCUCAUAGUUCCUGAAGGGAUUAUUGGGAUCCGACCAUGGAUUGUUCUUAGUGAUGAUUUAUCAUGAAUUAUCAUGGUUUCUAAUUGGAUUUAUCAGUCCGAUUUGAUGGUGGUCAGUUAUGGCCGGUUUAGUGGAAUUUGGCCGAGUUCUAGGUGAAGGAGGCCGGUUCUGUCUAAUCUGAUUGUGGAUUCUUCUUAGUUGGGAAUUAUCAGUAAUUGUCAUGAAUUUUAUUUAGUUUUUGGAGAUGUAUUAAAAAUGGCCAGAAAUGGGAUUUAGCCUUGGUCGUUUGUGGUUCAGUGUGAUUGAUGGGUUAGAUCACAUUGGAUCAGUCUGGCCGUGUGUUAAAUGAUUGUUUGGGAUGUCUUAGUUGAUGUCCUGAGUAUGGCCGAGUGCUUUGUUGACUGAUCGGUUAGCUUAGAGAACUUAGUUUAAGGGAACCAAACCAUGCAAUGUUAGAUGAGCUUACUAGGGUAUCGGUUUGUUAUGUACUUAUGUUGUUGUGUUGUGUGUGUGUUGUGGUUUCAGGAUCGGACCAGGACCGUGGCAAGGCCAAGGAACCGUGAGGACCUAGCUGUGGAUGGAUGUGUGGGUUAUGGGAUAGUAUUGUAUUAUGACUUAUGACUUAGCCUAUUGUGCAACUGACUGAUUGUAUGGAUCACAUGUUUAUAUUUAUACAAUGAAUGUUUUCUCUUGUCUAUCUGGUCGUGCAUUGAUUGAAUGAACCUCAAGAUUUCGAAAAUGACUUAGUGAAUAUGGAACUUUAAAACUGAUGGAACUUAGAAACAUGGUUUAGGUAAGGCACGGACCUAGUGGGACCUAAGGGUCAGGUUCGGGUCUUACAAAUAUAGCAAGAGAUAGCAACGGAACACAUAGUUUUAAUUUUUGUAGAUAAAUCUGUCGCUAGCUACAAUAAUUCGUAGCUAUAUAGCUAGAGACAAAUUCCGUCGGUAGUCUAUAGCUAAAUAGCUACGUCUUGGCUAAAAAAUAAGUUGUUGCUAUAAUUUUUCUAUUUAGCAAGGACUAACUACAAAUGUCUGUAUUGCUAAAUAGCAACGAUAUCUAUUUAUUGAGGAUCUAAAUGUAUCAGAAGAUAAAUUAUCGAAUUAUGGAGGACACAAAAACAUAAUGUAUGGACACGCACCCGUGUCUUUGGUAACUUUUAUAAAUUAUUUCUUCUUCUUUUUUUUUGUUUUGGUAUUUGCUAUAGUGAUUAACAAAAAUUCUUAUUUAAUCCACAUUGGAUCAAGAACAGGGUCGGAGGGAACGCUCAUAAGGAGUCCUAUUGAAACCAAUAAAUAUUCUCUUUUACGUAAGUAGAGUUUUUAAACAUUUUGAAAUUUCUUUAUAGAAGUGUUACUAAUUAAUUGAUGAUACAUAUAUGCCUAAUUCCUUCUCUAGUUAAACCCAUCUCACUACAAUAGUGAUAGGCACGGCACCCCCGGGUAUCUAGAUCCUGAAUACCAUCCAUCAAUCAAACCAGUACACGGAGAAGAGCGAUGCGUACAGGUGUUGACGGAAUUGGAAUUGAGCUGCUCAUCUCCGGAACAGCCGCAGACCCAUGUAUAUAUGUGAGGAAGAGGAAGCAUACGCAGGAGUAGAACCGAGGAACUACGUCGCUACUAUUUAAACAACUCACUCAUACCUUUGCCUUUACCAUUAUGUUUUGGUGUGUUUUGUCUAGGAGGAUAGUUGGUCUGUAGUUGGGUGCGCGAGCACAGAGCCUACAAACACUAGCUAUCCAAUCACCACUCAUACGCCGCAUGUUCAUUGCCCCGCUAACAUCAAUCUUUCCAACCACUCUUGAGAUGUAAUCAAAAAAGCAACUGGAAGACGGAUGAAACCAGGCCAAGACCACGCAAGCGCGGAAAUUUGAAGUUAGGGGCAAAACGGUCCGCCGGAAAAUUCGCCGGAAAAGUUCCCGGAAAAUUCACCGGGGACAAUCCGGCCAUCGACCUCAACCCAGCCCUCGAUAGUGUUGGACCGAUCAGUCCAACACUACAUACCCGUUCGGAUACUGGGGGUAGGAGGCUCAGAAGAGUGCAUACCCCUUAUAUAGACAAAACGCUUUUUUCAGUCUGUCACCAGUAGACAUUGGUUGUGUUCCGAGAGUCUUUUUAAUGUAAAAAAAAUACUUCGAAUUUGAAUCUGAUUUUUUGCAUGCUUCAUAAGAAUGGUUAAAGCUAUUUUCUGGUAAAUUUUCAUAAAUUUCUUUUGCUUCUAACCAUGUCUUUUGCAUGCUACAAAGGUCGGGGUUUCGUGGUCUAAACGGAUGUCUACAGCAACUUUUGAUCAACACUUGACAUCCUAAACUCUUUGUUGACAUAUUUUUGAUGUUUCAUUUCAGAAAACUUUCUUCAAAAAUAUUAAUUUUUGAAUUUUUGGCUUCUCGGGUGAUUUUGGCUGUCCGUGGGAGAUUUUGGCCCACGUGGGCUGUCUGUUCAGUACACACGGACGUCCGUGUGUGUCCGUCAGCACACACAGGACGUCCGUGGCUGUCUGUCAGGACACACAGGACAUCCGGCUGUCCAUCAGUACACAUAUCAGCACGCUGGCCCUUCCCGUGGACCGUUCGGGUGAUUUUGGCCCACGUGGGCUGUCUGUUCAGUACACACAGGAUGUCCGUGGGUGUCCUUCAGCACACACAGGACGUCUGUGGCUGACAGGAUGUCCGUGGGUGUCCUUCAGCACACACACGACGUCUGUGGACUGUCCAUCAGUACACGUAUCAGCACGCUGGCCCUUCCUGUGGAAUGUUUGGGUGAUUUUGGCCCACGUGGGCUGUCUGUUCAGUACACACAGGACGUCCAUGGCUGUCCGUCAGCACACACAGGACGUCCGUGUACUGUCCGUGUGUGUCCGUCAGCACGCACAGGACGUCCGUGGCCGUCCGUCAGCACACACAGGACGUCCAUGGACUGUCCAUCAGUACACAUAUUAGCACGCUGGCCCUUCUUGUGGACUGUUCGGGUGAUUUUGGCCCACGUGGGCUGUCUGUUCAGUACACACAGUGAUAGAACCAAAAUAAGGAUCACUCUUUCGGUAAGGUUGAUAUGAACUCAGAUCCGAGAGGAUUGAGAACUGAUGGAUCGAGGGGUGACACUAAGGGUUGCGGAUUAUCCCAAAGAUACUACCAGAGAUUCGAAGGUUGCCGGAUGUGACGCACCGGUCCAACACAAUGAAGUGGUUCGCUUGGAGAUGACCUCACCAAGAGAAGUAUGAAUGUUAUAAGCAAAGAACAAUGAGAGUAAAAACUCAAAAGAAUGAAAGCAAAACGAAAUUAUCUUAUUCAGAUCUGAUGGUUACAUUAUAUAGAAGUUCUAGUCAAAAGACUUAAAGAAAAAUGUGGGAAAUCUAAACAUAGAAAAUGAUAAAAUUGACCAGAUCUGGUCAAGGCACGAAAUCACACUUUGACUAGCGAAAACCCCUUCAAAUUCCGUCCAGGUUCAUUGCUUCCUGAAGCAUGUCCUGCGGACUGGGCCAGUACACAAGCAGGACAGUCCAAAGUAGCCAGUUUUGAAGUGUCACGGCCUAUCUUGAGUUCCACUCGUCCGAAUCCAAAUCUGUCUCGACCAUUGCUCUUAAAAUGCCAAUCAGUACAGGAAAUACGAGCUCCAGUUUGGUGAAUUCGAUCGUCUGGACAUGGGUAUUGAUGAAGCCUCAAACUGGACAUCCGGGCGGUACAUGUGGUACUGUCCAGAAAUGUAUAGCAAUGACCUAACUCAGGAUCCGUGCGUCCGAAUGCGAUUCCGUCUCGACUGUUCUUCAUCAAAUGGAAAACAGGACGGUGAAGACAAAGUCCAGUACAGUGAAAUCGAUCAUCUGGCGAUGGUUCCAGCCAAAGCUCCCAUCCGGAUGCAUUUGGGACAGUCCGGUCAGUCUGGCCAGUAUGGUGAAAAUCAUGAACCUCGGUUGAAAACUUCAGAACGUUCUGAACUUCAUGCUGGUUCGGCUCCAUGUACUGAUCCGUGGACCGCGGUCUAUCAUUCCCUCUUUCUUCAAAAGGAUUUGUCCUCAAAUCCAAUGUACAUAUAUCAAAAAGAGAUAAAUCAGAUACAAAGGAAUUAAAAUUCAAGGGAAAUUCAGUAAAUGAAUAGAAUGGACAGAAACUUCCUUGGAGUUUUGAUGUCAUUUUUAUCAAGGAAUUCCAAGUACUUUGGCGUCCAUUGGUGCUUGCUCUCCUUUGAAACUGAGUCAUUUUUAUCAAGGAAUUCCAAGUACUUUGGCGUCCAUUGGUGCUUGCUCUCCUUAGAAACUGAUCAUGCUUAUCCUGUUUAUUCAAAGCAACUAGAGAAACCACAUCAAAUCUGCCAAAGAAAUAAUCAAAGGGUUUCUCUAUCCUUAAGACAUCAAAAUCAGGAUCCAAGCCUUUAGGAUAAUCAUCAAGGACGUGGGCAAGCAUUAAGCAAGCAAGCUGGUUGCCAAAAAUUGAUUUAUCAAUCUCAAAAUAAGGCCAAGGUGAGAAACUGUCAUGGAAAGAAAGAGACAAUGCCAAAUUUGAAAAAUUAUCAUCAUGAACGAAAUCAAAAGAAUUCUUUGGCCUAAGCAAUUUUAGUUCAUGCUUUUUCCUACACCAAAUCUCUUUCAAAGCACAGCUCAGUGAAAUCAAUUCAUGAAAAGGUUUGAGCAAAACGUUUUUCAACCAAGUAAGAAUAUGUUUUCUCUUUGAAAUUCUCGGUUUCAAAACAUUUUCAUGAAGUGUAGAGGCAAUCAACUCAUGAUCCUUAUAGUGCUUUUGGUUUAGACAGGAUAAUGACUGAGGAAACACCUUUGGUUCAUGGAGGAUCGGUUUUGGCUCAGGCCGAUUCUUUCUGGGGCAUGAAUCUCCUUUAGAAAUCUGGUAAUCGCGGAUAGAUGGACUGAAGAACCUCCAGUUUGGAAAAUUUAUAACUUCUUCAUCCGUGAAGAUUUUCAUGCGAUUCCAAACCUCAGUGAAUACCUUUUGAGUUGGCUUUCUGGGAAAAUUGGAUUCAUGACAAAAGGCCUUUGGAAUGUUGAAAUAUCCUCCUUGGACUGAACCUCUGUCGCUGGUAUCAAGGUAGCCGGUUUCAACAAAGCUUCUCCAAAACUCAGACUGUUGGGCACAGUCAAUGCUUUCAAUUCUUAGAGGCUGAACCUGUCUUUCCUGUAUACUCAAAAUAAACACUAAAAGACCAGGAUCAAAUGUGCAAGAUAAAUAUUUGUUCAAAUCACAAAUCAAGAUAUCUUUUCCAAGAACAAAUUGCAUAUUUUUCAGCCUGUCAAGGUGCUCAUCAAAGUAGAUAUUACAGACAAGAAUUUUAUCAAGGUAUGCAACAACAGUAUUCAUUUUCAAGAUGGGCAUAUCCUUCCCAACAUCUGAACACACAAGCUUAAGUUCAGUUUGAGAAUCAUUUAUCAAAAGUUCAAGGUAUUUUUCAAAGAAUGUGUUGUAAACCAAAAUAUCAUCAGAACUCAAGACAACACCAUUAUCACGAAAUGAUCUCAGAAAAUACCAAGUCUUAUCAGUUUCAAAACUUAAGAGAUCAGGCUGCAAAACAGAACCACAAAAUUCAAGAUCACGAAAAUCAUUUUCAGUUUUAAGUGAUUUCUGUUCCAGCAACUUCUGAAUCAAAAUUUCGUCCAAGGCAUAAGAGGAUGCAAACAAUUCAUCAGUGAUCAGUACAUGUCUAGAAGAACUCAGAUCAAAACCAUUUCCUUUGCAAACAAACAAAUCAAGAGAUUUUUCAGCACAAAAAUCAGUUUGUUGCAAAUCAAGAUCAAAUGGCCUUCCAAGAAGAUGAAAACCUUUGUUAUGUUCCAAGAACUGAUCAAAGCUCAAAAUAAUUCCAGAAGUGAUGCCAUUGACAUUUUGAAAACGUGAUUGAUCAAGACAUUUAUCAGGUUCAAAGAUUUUUAAAGAAUUAAUCAUGUUAUCAAAAACAGAUUUUGAAACAAAAAAAAUCUUUCAUCUUGUCAAGACCAAAACGAAUUACAUCAUCAGUACUGACUUUCACAAACAUGUCAGGCAGAGAAUUAAGAGAAGAAGGUUUCUCACAGUGCUCUUGAAGAUCCGGAGGUAAAGGGGCAGGAGUUGUGCCGGGAUCAAAGCAUAGAUAAUUCUCCAUAGCAAUGGAUGUGAUGCUUGUUGCUUCUUCAUCAAAGACUGGACCAGGUUCGUCCUCCUCAUCAAAGAUAGGACCUAGAUCAUCAUCCAAACAUAUCCUAGUGUCAAGACAUGGGCACUGAUGUGGAAAAUCCAGUGGCUCUUCCUCAAAAACCUGUGGAGACAAAACAAGACUACUCGGAAGCUCCGGUUGCAAAACAGUUAGUUCUACAAUAGCUUGUUCAUUAUCAAGAUUAAACUCAGUUUCAAGAGAAGGAAGAUCACAAUCUUUUUCACAAAACAUCAAGCUUUCAAUUAGCUCUUCAUCAGAUUCAUCAAAAAUGGGUAGAUAAUCUGAAAAAUCUUUAAGUUCUUCAAAAUGGUUUUCAGAUUCACCUUGGGCUUUCUUACUGAUGAACAAGGAUGGCUCAGCUACUGGGGCACGUUUAGAUGUGCUCUUCUUUUGGCUCUUGCUGAAGUCCUUAAGGGCUUUGUCCACUCCCUUCACAAGGUUAUCACAAAUUUGUUGGACAUCAAUUUGAAAGGGUUGCCUUUUUGGAUCAGCCACAUCUCUGGUUGUUUUUCUCCUUACAGCUGGCUGUUCCUGCACACUAACAAACUCAUCAAAAUAAUUCAAAGGAUAUGUAAAAGGAGUUUGAGAGUUAGAAUUUCGUUGAGGCUUCUCCUUGUUACUUUUCCUUUGCAAACCAAACAUCAUAAACCUGAAAAAUCUCAACACAAAAGUUAGUAGAUAAAAACCUCACACUCUCAAGUGUUUGAUCCUCACCCACACAAGUGUUUCUCUCAGAUUUAGGUGAUCACACACAAGUUUUUACUCAAUGUUCUAAGAGAACAAAUCAAAGAAUCCCAAUGGGCAAAUCCAAGCAAACAAGGGAAUUUUCUCAAGAUAGAAAGAUAAGAGAUUUUGAUUUUUGAAAUCCGUUUUAACCACCUCAAAGGCUGGAUUUCUCCUCAGCCAGCAGGCUUUCUCUUCCACCACCAAUCCACAAAUCAAACUUUUCGAAUUCUUUUUUCUUCCUUUUUUUUUUAUNNNNNNNNNNNNNNNNNNNNNNNNNNNNNNNNNNNNNNNNNNNNNNNNNNNNUUUUAAAUUUUUCUUUUUUUUUUUUUUUUUUGAAUCAAAUCGUAAAUCUUUUUUUUUUAUUUUUUUUUAUAUAUGGAUGGUAAUGAGGGGCCCGGAUUUAGGAAAGGUAGAAGAAGAAGUGUUUGAAGAAGAUGAAGAAUAUGGAAGAUGAGAUGAAAUGGAUUGAAAAAGAGUUACCGAGAGAGUGGCUCUGAUACCACUUGAUAGAACCAAAAUAAGGAUCACUCUUUCGGUAAGGUUGAUAUGAACUCAGAUCCGAGAGGAUUGAGAACUGAUGGAUCGAGGGGUGACACUAAGGGUUGCGGAUUAUCCCAAAGAUACUACCAGAGAUUCGAAGGUUGCCGGAUGUGACGCACCGGUCCAACACAACGAAGUGGUUCGCUUGGAGAUGACCUCACCAAGAGAAGUAUGAAUGUUAUAAGCAAAGAACAAUGAGAGUAAAAACUCAAAAGAAUGAAAGCAAAACGAAAUUAUCUUAUUCAGAUCUGAUGGUUACAUUAUAUAGAAGUUCUAGUCAAAAGACUUAAAGAAAAAUGUGGGAAAUCUAAACAUAGAAAAUGAUAAAAUUGACCAGAUCUGGUCAAGGCACGAAAUCACACUUUGACUAGCGAAAACCCCUUCAAAUUCCGUCCAGGUUCAUUGCUUCCUGAAGCAUGUCCUGCGGACUGGGCCAGUACACAAGCAGGACAGUCCAAAGUAGCCAGUUUUGAAGUGUCACAGCUUUAUUUCGAAUAGUCAUUUAUCCCAUCGAUCUGAUCCAUAGCUUAUAAAAUAUUCGGUGUCCUGAUAUCUGAAUUUCUUUUUAUUUAAUAUUCGAUUCGAUCAGUAUAAUAUUAAAAAAAUUAAAAUAAAUAAUAAAAAUCCAAAGAUAAUAUGAAAUAUUAAUAUCUACAAAAAAAAUAAAAAGUUACUUACUUUUAAAAACUCUAAUAACUAAAGCAGUCAAUUUAAUAAAUAAAUUAUUGUUUAACUUACAUAAAAUAUAACCAUUAUAUAAUUCAUAUAAAUAAUUUAUUUUAAUAUAUGUAUAUAUAUAUAUAGACGCAUAUAUGAUAUAACAUAUCAUAUUAGAUAUCCACUCUUGAAAAUAUUAAUAUUUUGAUUUGUUUUGUUUUUUACGGAUAUUGUAUAAUAAUAUUUGUUUUGUUUUGUAGAGUAACGGAUAUUCUGAUUUUUUUGUUCAAAUCAAUGAGAAUAAAUAAUCAAAUAAAAUUUUACUGACUUUUUUAGAAUGAAAUUUACAGAUUCUUUGUCGAGCUCUAAUUUGAAUGACAAAUAGCUCACAAAAUCAUAUAUAGUUUGCUUUACUUUUCUUUUACAUUGCUAGUGAAAUGUUUUUUAGACAACAUGAAACAUGCGAGUUUGAACUCAGCUGGUAUACAACAAUGGCGUUAUUAUAAAUCAGUAGGUUAUAUUUAGUGAUCAUAUUGGUAGUGGCAUGCAUGUUUAUUCUUCUAAAAUCUGCUAAAAUAUGUUUAAAACUUAGUAACAAAGCUGUGAAGCUCAUCCAUCUGAGCAUCUCAUUUCCACGUAAACUAGCAUGCUAGCUACUUUUCUUUUUUUAUUCACGAACCUACGCUCCUUUGAUCCUUUCUAUUGUCUGUGCAUUCGUAUUCAUUCAGGGUUUUUUUUUUAACUGAGUAUUCAUUCAGGGUUGAGUGAUAUUGUUUAAUUAUUCGACCUUAGUCUCUACCUCCACCGUGAACCGACCAGCCCCUUGAAUUCCCAUCCACCAUGCAGAUCACUUUUAUUCGGAUUCUAUUGACGCUGAUUUUUAGCGUGUAGCAAACUAUGCAGGAUCCACAAUCCAAGACUGUGUAUGGGAUGACAUUCAAGAUCGACUGGAUAUAUAGUCUUCACUCGAUCAAAAAUAUUGUGUGGACCAUCAUGAAUCAAAUUAUUGACUCUAACACUGCUGGACUCAAGAUUGAGUUCCAAUAGUUUCGGCGGGCCUACUUAAUUAAUAGUCAGCUGGUCUAUUGAGUUCCAAUAGUUUCGGCGGGCCUACUUAAUUAAUAGUCAGUCCAAGAGCUUAAGGGCCCUCUUUGCUAAUUAAAUUCUUGUUGGCAUUUCUAACUAGAAAAGUGGUUCGUCCGUAAUUUACUGGUUUUCCAUUAAAUGAAAACAAGCACGUAGGUGAUAGUUAAUGUGCUGUUUUAUAACUUAUCACGUGAGAUCAUGCAAUCUUUCAUACCCGCCAAACGAAAGUUAAUUAUCAACCAAGCGGGGGAGACUUCAACCAGAUUGCUCACUUUGCAGAAGCUUUUUCGUCAUUCCAAUCAAACCAGGAUGAAGCUCAUUUGUUAAGUUCAGGAACAAUAUUUGCAUUAACAGCUGGACAGCUAAAACUCUAUCAUUUGCGGGCAGACUACUCCUCAUCAACACUGUUAUAGCGGGCAUAGAGCUUUGACAAGCUUGACGUAAUCGGGCUGGUUGCAGUCUUCAGCCAAGACACAGAGCUGAGCAACACGCUUCUCGAUAAGCUUGGCGCUUUCAUGGAGACCACGAGUCACACCACCGUGAGCACGGGCUUUCCUUAGAGUCAGCUCCAAUGCAGUCAACAGAUCCAUGUCCUCUGGAAUUGCAGCUGACUCAGCAGCAGGAGGAACAACAACAGCAGGAGCAGCUUCUUCCCUGAAGUAAAAGAGGAGAGACAAUAAGACUAGACCACACAAACAUAGGCUUGCGGAAAUUAACCGAAUCGAACCAAAUAGUAUCAAUAUGUUCUCAAAUUUCGUUUAUACCGUCAUUACACCGAUAAACGAAGCGUCGACCUUUUUUGAGAACAUCCUUGAUCUCGAUAAACUCCGAAUCAACGAACCAUUUAUAUUUUUGUGAAAUAUUGUCAACUUUUUCAGCUAAUUAAAUUUCGUUUAUACGCUGCAUUCACCGCUACACAUGGGCUAUCUGACACCUUCUAUGUUUUCAUUUAUCAAAAAAGUAAGUAGAUAUAUCAUAUAUUAUAACAAGGUCUCUUAUACCAAAAGCCUGCCAUAACUUUAUAGCCUCUCAGAUUUAUCAUGUGUGUUCUUACUAAAAGGGUUCUCGAAACAUUUUAGUUUUUACCCGCCAAAGCAAAUAUAAAACAGUUAACAGCCUAAUGCAAGUUGACCACUAAAGAAGACUAAGCACUUUCUUAUUUAGAAAAGUGUCUUGUGCUUCAUAUUAGGUUUUUUUUUUUAAUUAUAGUAUAUAUUGAAACCCUAUUUAUGUACUAACCAAUUUUUUGUAGUCCUUGCUUGUUUCCAUCGAAGUUAUCCUUAGAAGUUCUUUGACGAUCUGCCACCUGUAAGUUUUUUUAUAUCAAUUUACUUUUUUUUGUUUUCAUAAUAUACGUGAAGGACAAAUGAUUUACCAGUACUGUGGAGGGUAAAUGUUGAGGUUGCUCUGCUUAGUCAGCCUUCGUUCUUGUGAAUCGCCAGUGUACAGAUUAAGAAAUCUAGUACUUGUUAUCAUUGAUCUUCGUCCUUCUCAGUGAGAAACUCCAUUGAAACUUUAGAGCGUUCCGAGAAUGGUUCUUGACUAUUUUAAACCAAAAUAACGUUUAGGGAAUCACCUGAUUUGAAAGUGGGACCCCCGAGUUCGGGACGAAGAUCAACUUGCAUUACACAUAUAUAUGCAUGAUUCUCACAAAGAGAUUCAUCCUGGUUUGACACUUUUCGUGCCGGGGUUUGGUGAUAUCCGGAAGCUAUGCGUACGAUCCAACCAAAACUGAAGUCUUGGCCAAGGAUGAACGCAUAACCACGGAAUCAGCAGGCACAGUAAGAAACCGGCCUACCGAGAGUGAUGUUUCAUCGUUCUCAGGUCGUUCUGUUUCCAGGGUACGACAAUGAUCCUUCCGCAGGUUCACCUACGGAAACCUUGUUACGACUUCUCCUUCCUCUAAAUGAUAAGGUUUAGUGGACUUCUCGCGACGUCGCAGACGGCGAACCACCCACGUCGCCGCGAUCCGAACACUUCACCGGAUCAUUCAAUCGGUAGGAGCGACGGGCGGUGUGUACAAAGGGCAGGGACGUAGUCAACGCGAGCUGAUGACUCGCGCUUACUAGGAAUUCCUCGUUGAAGACCAACAAUUGCAAUGAUCUAUCCCCAUCACGAUGAAAUUUCAAAGAUUACCCGGGCCUGUCGGCCAAGGUGUGAACUCGUUGAAUACAUCAGUGUAGCGCGCGUGCGGCCCAGAACAUCUAAGGGCAUCACAGACCUGUUAUUGCCUCAAACUACUCCUACCAAAAAUAGUAAUUCAACGAGGUGCCGGGGUUUGGAAUUUUAAACUUUAUAAACAGAAUGUGGAACCAUUUGUUAAAGAGAGUAAAUGUCAAUCUGUGAUUAGUUAUAAAACAGUUCUGACUCUCUUUUCAAAGCAUACAUUAAUGGAAAUUCAUAAUAUAUUUAAGAAGGGCUACGUCGGAUUGAUCCUGGUUUUUUCAUCAGACAAGGCACCUUUUAUCUUUCAUUAGAAUCCAAUUCAAAAACGGAAACACACAUUCAUGGUUUGGCUAGCAAAGAAAUCUCAAUCUCUUGAAGUGUUUUUCCUUUGGUCUCGAUCACGUUCCGCUUCACGAACAUCACUGCCAUCAAACAGAACGUUGAGAACAAAGGUUCUAACAUCAAGUUAAAUAUUAAAUAGGUAGAGUGAUCUUGGGACGCCGACAAGUUAUCGAUGAAUCAUGAAGGCAGGAAGGACGAAGAAGCUGUGCUCGGUGAUAUUGACGUGGAGGUUAACCUUAAGAAACCAUUGAAGGGUUCGAUUAUGGUUAAUGGUGCAAGAUUCUAUGAAGGUAAACCAUUAACUUUUCCUCUAUGAAUUCCUUAGACUCAAGUGGUUUGAUUGGAAGGACGAAGAAGCUGUGCUAUUCCCAAUACAAUGAUUGUAUACGUGUGUGGAAGAGAUAGUAAAUGUAUGAAGCUGAAUAAAUUUCCACGUUGGAAGGAAGUUGAAGAUGGAGUUGGCCGAUUAAUCUUAUCACUACACCAAGAAUUUAUUUAAUAAUCGGCCGCCUAAUCGGUAAAUAGGCCGAUUAAUCGGUUAUUGGGCCGAUUAAUUGGUGACCGAUUUUCUGGUCCGAUUAUGGUAAACUCGGGGCGGUUAGUCUCCGUCCAGCGCCUGGGCGGACGCCUAGGCGGCUAGGUGCCGUGGCUAGGUGCCCGCGUUUUAGAACAGGGGAAGAAACAUAUCUUAAUUAGGGAAAAUAAGAAACGCGUCUUCUGAGACACGGGUUGUCUUUUGGUUGUUCUUGUGUGUUCUCUCUCCACGGAAGCAAAUCACCUCAUCUCUCUAUCUCCCCUCGACGGCAGCAAACCCGUCGACGGAAGCAAACCCAUGACUCUAUCGAUCGUAAUCGAACGGGUUUACUGUUAGAGAAAAAGGGCGUAUGUUUAAUGACGUAUAUUAAUACAUCCAUUUGUAUAUGGAAAUUUGAUUAUGCGUUCUGCUUUGUUUCAUCCCUUCAGUACGCUUGAAAAUAAUAUGAUGUUCCUAAUAUUUCCGUUAUAGAUUUUAUAUAAACGGUAGUUUUAAUAUACCGAUCCCGCUUUUUGUUGUAACGCGAUUAGUAUAUACAUCUUAGGAAGCUUCUCUUCGAUAGCCACUCACUAGCGAAGUGUCAUUUUGAUUUCCCAACUCCUUGCUUCCUGUGUUCCAGCGACCUUCUCCGUCGACCACUAGAGUUCCAUGGUAUCACGGUAACGCAUUCUACGCGGCGGAACGUGCCUCGCAUGGUAUACCCCCAAAUGAAUUCCACAUAAUGGAUCAUCUAAGUUCAUCCGUCAUACAAUAUGUCAUAAAACAAUAUUUUUGUAGGGGUUAGCCCAUAGAUUUUGAGAAAAUUUCAAAAAAUAUGACAAUAUUGUUUUAGUGCCUAGUUGCAUCCUGCACUAACAUUUUUGGCUGGAACAGUCCAUCAUCUAUAUUUACAUUUGUUGUAACGCGAUUAGUAUAUACAACGAAAAUCAAACUUUAGUUUUACCGAAACAAUUAAACUUCUAUAUUGUAAGGUGACAAAUUUAAUUUGUUUACGUAAUUAAACUACUAAAUAUGCCCACACAAUUUAUACAUGAAGCAAAUCGUUCUUUUGUGGAUUGUUGCGGUGAUGCAUGAACAAAUUGUCUGCUCCAUUGGCUGUCUGAAGUAUAUCUGGGACACUUUCCCCAUUUAUUGUUGUUAGUAGCAAAAAACACAGAGGUGAUUCAUCAUGGUUCAUGGGCAUCGUUUAAAUGUUCAUUCGGAAGUUUAGAUAAUAAUAAUGUAGAGAGAUGUCACACUAUUUUGGAUACAUAAGUAAUAUGACAAUAUUGUUUCACUUUCAAAUCAGGUGGUUCCAGUUUCCCAGUUUGGUAAUAGGACAGCUUCUUCGUCGUUCCAAUCAUGAUGAGUAACCAAGCUCCCCAACUCAUUAUGUCGCCAUAAUGAGUAACCAAGCUCCCCAACUCCAUCCUUAUGUAUUGCUUAACGUCCUCAAAUUCUAAAUGAGACGUUACACUAGAUCUUCCCUGUUGCGCUACAUUGAUGAAAUUCAUUUAUCACAACCAAUUCGUUUUUGGGCCUAAUUCUCGUAAGCUCAAUUCAAUGUCAGAUGCCUUCACAUAGUUCAUCCGUCUGUGUAAUUUCUUAAGAUCGAAUUAAAGCAAGCAGUUAUGAAUCGAAUUAAUCCUAUACUCAUCCAUAACACUAUCACGUGUAAGAAGUAAUUAAUAACAUACUUACACCUUAAUAUUACCAAUGCCAAUGGUCAAGACUCCAAAACUUAAAAGAGUCUUGAGGAUGUUAUUAUUUGUUUAUCAAAAAACAAAUAACAUUAGAUUUAGUUAAGAUUUACAAAUCCACUAAAAUACAAAAACUAAAUUAUCCUCAUGUAUUAAUGUUAAGACCAAACAAAAAAACAUUUGGAACUGGUGAUUUGUCCGAAAAGAGUUACCUUAAAAAUAACUUUGACCAUUAAUUACAAUUAGUUAGCGUGGGAAGAGACAAUUAGUUAUUAUUAACUAAACAAUAUAUUUUCAUUUUGGAAAAAGACUAGAUGCAAUAGUUAGGUUUGUUUUUUAACAUAUUGAAAUUCAUUCACAAUACGAAGAAAACAUGUUAAACAUCCACAUCGCCAACGGAAAAGACCGGAUGCAAUAGCUUGGUUUGUUUUCAACAUACUGAAAUUCAUUCACAAUACGAAAAAAACAUGUUAAACACUCGCCUCUAACGAACUUUUUCCAAAAUGAAAAUAAAUUGUUUAGUCAAUAUCACCAGUUCCAAAUGUAAAUUAGUCAAUGAUUACCUUAAAAAUAUCGGUCUCGAGAAGAUAUCAUGAUCGACCAACACCCGUUCCAAUCAUGAUGAGUACUCAUCGGGUGACAUGAAACAUAUUCUGAAAAUAGUAAAAACUUCAGAUUUUGAUUUUUUUAUUGUUUAAGUAGACUGUCUGAACAAACUUAUUUGAAAGUUUUAUAAUAGAGAUUUGAAAGCAUUACUUACUGAGUGCCAUGUAUGCUGGCCCUUCCCGUGGACUGUCCGUGUACUAUCUCCGGCAGGUGAGUCCGGUGGAUAAUCCUGCAGUUAUAUGCCAAAGUAUAAUAUUUGCUAAAACAAGAAAGUAUGAAAUUUAUGAUUGGCUCUGCGGGUAAAUGAAAACACUUGGUCUCGAUCAAUGGUAGCAAUUUACUGAAAACAUAAUCAGCCUUUCUGAAAGGUUCAUAUCCACUGGAAUAUAAGGUAUGCAAGCUAUAAAUGAGCACACGGCGACAUGCUUUCGCGGAUAUGGCCCUUUCGGAGGAGGUCCUCGACCUGGCGCCGGAUUUGUACCUGGUUCUUCAUCCCACUCCUAUGAGAUUUAUUCAACUUCCUGGCGAUUAUCCACCACUUUAUGUAUCCAAAUCAAGCUUGCUCGUUGUGAUUCCAUAUGUCAAUGCCUCCGGCGCUGUUACUUUGGACCAAUUUUAAAUCAAUUCAAACCAGGAAUGAUACACUGGUUAUCAUUUGAAAGUGGGCUAAUUUCUGUCGCCCAUAGUGUAAUCUAAAUAUUUAUGAUCUCGGGUUAAGCUUACACAUUUGAUUAAAUAAUAAUUUAAUUCAUUAAGGGUUAACACUCUUUAAAGUUUGCUGGUCGGCAGACCAACAGGCUUGGCCCUAGACCUCUUCUCCACAACACGUGAUAGUUCCUUCACAGCUUCUUUCGCCAAAUGGCGAGGCUUGCUAAGCCACAAUCCUCCAUCUACCACCAUUGUUAAACCGUUGACAUACUUCCCUGUACUUAUCAAUAAAAAAUUUGAAAGUGGGACCUUUUAUUGUUGGAGACGAAUUUAGUGAGGGCAGCAUGCUGAACAAAAACGUGAAAGUAAUCUUAAUUUCUUCAUCCCAGCUCCUAUGAGAUUUAUUCAACUUCCUGAUGAUUCUCCACCACUUUAUGUAUCCAAAUAAAGCUUCUCACAAAGAGAUUCAUCCUGGUUUGAUUGGAAGGACGAAGAAGCUGUGCUAUUCCCAAACUGGGAAACUAGAAUCACCUGAUUUGAAAGUGGGAUAACUUCUUCAUAAAAUGAGCUUUAAACAAUAUUGAAUUCAUAGAAGCAAUCCAAUUUACAUCAAAUCUAAAUAUUUUAGAGUUGUGGCUUGGUUUGUUUUAAAUUGCCGUUUGGAUUUACCGCCGACAUGUCAUCAAAAACAUAUCUUAGCCAUACAUUGGAAUUUCAAACGUAUUAUAAUUAUUGGCUAUAAAAUAUUUCCAUGAAUUUAAUUCCAAAAAGUUAUAGGACAUCAUAUAUUUUCAAAAUACACUAAGUUGGAUUAAACAAUAUUGUCAUAUUAAAAGGUUAAGAAACUUGUUGACAUUUUGUUUUAUCAAGUUUACUUAUGUAUCCAAAAUAGUGUGACAUCCUAGUUCGAUUGGAUCAGAUUUUAGAAAGUGGGAUAACUUCUUCAUCCCAACUCCUAUGAGAUUUAUUCAACUUCCUGGUGAUUCUCCAACACUUUAUGUAUCCAAAUCAAGCUUCUUACAAAGUGAUUCAUCCUGGUUUGAUUGGAACGACGAAGAAGCUGUCCUAUUCCCAAACUGGGAAACUGGAAUCACCUGAUUAGAAAGUGGGAUAACUUCUUCAUCCCAACUCCUAUGAGAUAUUCUCUUCCCUGUAGACAAGCAGUAGAAGGGCUACGUCGGAUGAGUGUCAAACAUAUUGUUAAAAUAUAUCCAAUGAGAGAUAAAUGAAAAGUAAGAAGCUCAUCAGGAAGUUGAAUAAAUCUCCGGACUGAGAUAAAUGAAAAGUUAAUGGUUUACCUUUCUCUUUUCUCUAUUAAUAUGUGUAACCAAGCUUGCAGUGUAGAACCAGGUACAAAGUCUAUUUGGUGCUCAAUCCACUUGAUUCUGAAUUUGAGCAUGGAUGGACCUUCCUUGCAGUGCCAAUAAGACUUUAUAGUGCUAUCCCAAUAAUUGUUUCGGUAAAACAACGAAACAGUAGUGGUAUUUCACUUGGUAAACUAAGUAUCAAUAUUCUAUUACACUUCGAAUGCUAUCCCACCUUCUUUUCCAAAAUAUAUAAUCCCGAAGUUAACAAUAAAUUAUGUUUGAUAUCCCAGGCGGUUGGAUUCUCUGACGUCAUCGUUAAUACGCUAUUGGAGCUGGAAUUACCGCCGACGGAUUAUUGGCAUCCGUUCGUUGUUUUUAUCCCACUUUUUGUAAUGGUGCAAUUAUUUUUUUUUAGAUUAAUUGUAACCAGACUCUAUCACACUAAUCUCCCUAAAUUAGUGGUCAAAGACUCACCAGACGCGUGGGCGACGUAAUCGUCAAAGUACGGAACUCUGAGACCGUUAGUCAACGAAGACAGGUCAAGACUCUUGUGAGCGAGAUCAUCAUUCACGUAAAGAUUGAACACUAGCGUGUUCAUCGUCGCUUGACUCACGAUAUCGCAGAAGUGAACACGAACGAAGUAUCUAUCUUCAGCAAGGUUAGAGGCAUAAAUAGCUGUGUAGACGAAUCUGAUAGUUCCUACCACUUUGAUUUCGCACGUGAGCGACUGUUACUCAUUAUGGUCCUUUCGGAGGAGGUCCUCAACCCGAAAAUCCGAAACUUCUAAUAUUAUAUAUAUAUGGGUGUUUCAGUUUAUUUUUGGUAUUAUAGGUAUUUUUUUAAGUUUCAAAUUUUUAUUUUUGGGUAUAGUUUUGGGUUUCGAUAAAAAACUAGAUUUUCAAAAAUAUAAUUAGGAUAAUCGGAUAAAAUUUUGGAUAUUUUUAUGUCUUUGGAUCAGAUUUUAGAUAAAAUUUAUCAUAUUUUCGAGUAUUUAAAUAUAUUCAAGUAUUUUCUAUGUAUCAUGCUUUUAAUUUAUGACAAUUUAUAAGUUUAUUUUUAAUGCAGUGUAAAAUCACUGAUCCAAAAGUAACGUGAGGUUAAACUGGAAUCACCUGAUUAGAAAGUGGGAUAACUUCUUCAUCCCAACUCCUAUGAGAUUUAUUCAACUUCCUGGUGAUUCUCCAACACUUUAUGUAUCCAAAUCAAGCUUCUUACAAAGUGAUUCAUCCUGGUUUGAUUGGAACGACGAAGAUGCUGUCCUAUUCCCAAAGUGGGAAACUGGAAUCACCUGAUUAGAAAGUGGGAUAACUUCUUCAUCCCAACUCCUAUGAGAUAUUCUCUUCCCUGUAGACAAGCAGUAGAAGGGCUACGUCGGAUGAGUGUCAAACAUAUUGUUAAAAUAUAUCCAAUGAGAGAUAAAUGAAAAGUAAGAAGCUCAUCAGGAAGUUGAAUAAAUCUCCGGACUGAGAUAAAUGAAAAGUUAAUGGUUUACCUUUCUCUUUUCUCUAUUAAUAUGUGUAACCAAGCUUGCAGUGUAGAACCAGGUACAAAGUCUAUUUGGUGCUCAAUCCACUUGAUUCUGAAUUUGAGCAUGGAUGGACCUUCCUUGCAGUGCCAAUAAGACUUUAUAGUGCUAUCCCAAUAAUUGUUUCGGUAAAACAACGAAACAGUAGUGGUAUUUCACUUGGUAAACUAAGUAUCAAUAUUCUAUUACACUUCGAAUGCUAUCCCACCUUCUUUUCCAAAAUAUAUAAUCCCGAAGUUAACAAUAAAUUAUGUUUGAUAUCCCAGGCGGUUGGAUUCUCUGACGUCAUCGUUAAUACGCUAUUGGAGCUGGAAUUACCGCCGACGGAUUAUUGGCAUCCGUUCGUUGUUUUUAUCCCACUUUUUGUAAUGGUGCAAUUAUUUUUUUUUAGAUUAAUUGUAACCAGACUCUAUCACACUAAUCUCCCUAAAUUAGUGGUCAAAGACUCACCAGACGCGUGGGCAACGUAAUCGUCAAAGUACGGAACUCUGAGACCGUUAGUCAACGAAGACAGGUCAAGACUCUUGUGAGCGAGAUCAUCAUUCACGUAAAGAUUGAACACUAGCGUGUUCAUCAUCGCUUGACUCACGAUAUCGCAGAAAUGAACACGAACUGAGAUAACUUCUUCAUCCCAACUCCUAUGAGAUUUAUUUAAUUUCCUGGUCAUUAUACACCACUUUAUGUAUCCAAAUCAAGCUUCUUACAAAUUGAUUCAUCCUGGUUUGAUUGUAACGACGAAGAAGCUGUCCUAUUCCCAAACUGGAAAACUGGAAUCACCUGAUUUGAAAGUGGGAUAACUUAUUCAUCCCAACUCCUAUGAGAUUUAUUCAACUUGCUGGUGAUUCUCCACCACUUUAUGUAUCCAAAUCAAGCUUCCUACAAAGUGACUCAUCCUGCUUUGAUUGGAACGACGAAGAAGAUGUCCUAUUCCCAAACUGGAAAACUCUUCUUUCAAAGUGAUUCAUCCUGCUUUGAUUGGAAUGACAAAGAAGCUAUCCUAUUCCCAAACUGGGAAACUGGAAUCACCUGAUUUGAAAGUGAGAUAACUUCUUCAUCCCAACUCCUAUGAGAUUUAUUCAACUUCCUGGUCAUUCUCCACCAUUUUAUGUAUCCAAAUCAAGCUUCUUCCAAAGUGAUUCAUCCCGCUUUGAUUGGAACAACGAAGAAGUUGUCCUAUUCCCAAACUGGGAAACUGGAAUCAUCUGAUUUGAAAGUGGAAUAACUUCUUCAUCCCAAAUCCUAUGAGAUUUAUUCAACUUCUUGGUCAUUCUCCACCACUUUAUGUCUCCAAAUCAAGCUUCUUACAUAGUGAUUCAUCCUGCUUUGAUUGGAACGACGAAGAAGCUAUCCUAUUCCAAAACUGGGAAACUAAAAUCACCUGAUUUGAAAGUGGGAUAGCUUCUUCAUCCCAACUCCUAUGAGAUUUAUUCAACUUCCUGGUCAUUCUCCACCACUUAAUGUAUCCAAAUCAAGCUUCUUACAAAGUGAUUCAUCCUGGUUUGAUUGGAAAGACGAAGAAGCUGUCCUAUUCCCAAACUGGGAAACUGGAAUCACCUGAUUUGAAAGUGGGAUAACUUCUUCAUCCCAACUCCUAUGAGAUUUAUUCAACUUGCUGGUGAUUCUCCAACACUUAUAUAUCCAAAUCAAGGUUCUUUCAAAGUGAUUCAUCCUGCUUUGAUAGGAAUGACAAAGAAGCUAUCAUAUUCCCAAACUGGGAAACUGGAAUCACCUGAAGUGAGAUAACUUCUUCAUCCCAACUCCUAUGAGAUUUAUUCAACUUCCUGGUGAUUCUUCACCACUUUAUGUAUCCAAAUCAAGCUUCUUACAAAGUGAUUCAUCCUACUUUGAUUGAAACGACGAAGAAGUUGUCCUAUUCCCAAACUGGGAAACUGGAAUCACCUAAUUUGAAAGUGGGAUACCUUCUUCAUCCCAACUCCUAUGAGAUUUAUUCAACUUCCUAGUCAUUCCCCACCACUUAAUGUAUCCAAAUCAAGCUUCUUACAAAGUUAUUCAUCCUGGUUUGAUUGGAACGACGAAGAAGAUGUUCUAUUCCCAAACUGGGAAACUGGAAUCACAUGAUUUAAAAGUGGAAUAACUUCUUCAUCCCAACUCCUAUGAAAUUUAUUCAACUUCCUGGUCAUUCUCCACCACUUUAUUUAUCAAAAUCAUGCUUCUUACAAAGUGUUUCAUCCUUCUUUGAUUGUAACGACGAAGAAGCUGUCCUAUUCCCAAACUGGGAAACUGGAAUCACCUGAUUUGAAAGUGAGAUAACUUCUUCAUCCCAAAUCCUAUGAGAUUUAUUCAACUUCCUCGUGAUUCUCCACCACUUUAUGUAUCCAAAUCAAGCUUCUUACAAAGUGAUUCAUCCUGCUUUGAUUGAAACGACGAAGAAGUUGUCCUAUUCCCAAACUGGGAAACUGGAAUCACCUAAUUUGAAAGUGGGAUACCUUCUUCAUCCCAACUCCUAUGAGAUUUAUUCAACUUCCUAGUCAUUCCCCACCACUUAAUGUAUCCAAAUCAAGCUUCUUACAAAGUAAUUCAUCCUGGUUUGAUUGGAACGACGAAGAAGAUGUUCUAUUCCCAAACUGGGAAACUGGAAUCACAUGAUUUAAAAGUGGAAUAACUUCUUCAUCCCAACUCCUAUGAAAUUUAUUCAACUUCCUGGUCAUUCUCCACCACUUUAUUUAUCAAAAUCAUGCUUCUUACAAAGUGUUUCAUCCUUCUUUGAUUGUAACGACGAAGAAGCUGUCCUAUUCCCAAACUGGGAAACUGGAAUCACCUGAUUUGAAAGUGAGAUAACUUCUUCAUCCCAAAUCCUAUGAGAUUUAUUCAACUUCCUCGUGAUUCUCCACCACUUUAUGUAUCCAAAUCAAGCUUCUUACAAAGUGAUUCAUCCUGCUUUGAUUGGAACGACAAAGAAGAUGAUCUAUUCCCAAACUGGGAAACUAGAAUCACCUGAUUUUAAAGUGGAAUAACUUCUUCAUCUCAACUCCUAUGAGAUUUAUUCAACUUCCUGGUGAUUCUCCAACACUUUAUGUAUCCAAACGAAGCUUCUUACAAAGUGAUUCAUCUUGAAUUGAUUGGAACGACGAAGAUGCUGUCCUAUUCCCAAACUGGGAAACUGGAAUCACAUUAUUUGAAAGUGGGAUAACUUCUUCAUCCCAACUCCAAUGAGAUUUAUUCAACUUCCUAGUCAUUCCCCACCACUUAAUGUAUCCAAAUCAAGCUUCUUACAAAGUAAUUCAUCCUGGUUUGAUUGGAACGACGAAGAAGAUGUUCUAUUCCCAAACUGGGAAACUGGAAUCACAUGAUUUAAAAGUGGAAUAACUUCUUCAUCUAAACUUCUAUGAGAUUUAUUCAACUUUCUGGUGAUUCUCCAACACUUUAUGUAUCCAAAUCAGGUUUCUUACAAAGUGAUUCAUCCUGAUUUGAUUGGAACGACGAAGAAGCUGUCCUAUUCCCAAACUGGGAAACUGGAAUCACCUGAUUUGAAAGUGAGAUAACUUCUUCAUCCCAACUCCUAUUAGAUUUAUUCAUCUUACUGGUUAUUCUCCACCACUUUAUGUAUCCAAAUCAAGCGUCCUACAAAGUGACUCAUCCUGCUUUGAUUGGAACGACGAAGAAGAUGUCUUAUUCCCAAACUGGAAAACUCGAAUCACCUGAUUUGAAAGUGGGAUAACUUCUUCAUUCCAACUCCUAUGAGAUUUAUUCAACUUCUUGGUGAUUCUACACCAUUUUAUGUAUCCAAAUCAAGCUUCUUCCAAAGUGAUUCAUCCCGCUUUGAUUGGAACGACGAAGAAGUUGUCCUAUUCCCAAGCUGGGAAACUGGAAUCAUCUGAUUUAAAAGUGGAAUAACUUCUUCAUCCCAACUCCUAUAAGAUUUAUUCAACUUCCUGUUCAUUCUUCACCACUUUAUGUAUCCAAAUCAAGCUUCUUACAAAGUGAUUCAUCCUGCUUUGAUUGGAACGACGAAGAAGUUGUCCUAUUCCCAAACUGGGAAACUGGAAUCACCUGAUUUGAAAGUGGGAUAACUUAUUCAUCCCAACUCCUAUGAGAUUUAUUCAACUUGCUGGUGUUUCUCCACCACUUAAUGUAUCCAAAUCAAGCUUCUUACAAAGUGACUCACCCUCCUUUGAUUGGAAUGACAAAGAAGAUGUCCUAUUCCCAAACUGGGAAACUGGAAUCACCUGAUUUGAAAGUGGGAUAACUUCUUCAUCCCAACUCCUAUGAGAUUUAUUCAACUUCCUGUUCAUUCUCCACCACUUUAUGUCUCCAAAUCAAGCUUCUUACAAAGUGAUUCAUCCUGCUUUGAUAGGAACGACGAAGAAGCUAUCCUAUUCCAAAACUGGGAAACUAAAAUCACCUGAUUCGAAAUUGGGAUAGCUUCUUCAUCCCAACUCCUAUGAGAUUUAUUCAACUUCCUGGUCAUUCUCCACCACUUAAUGUAUCCAAAUCAAGCUUCUUACAAAGUGAUUCAUCCUGGUUUGAUUGGAACGACGAAGAAGAUGUUCUAUUCCCAAAGUGGGAAACUGGAAUCACCUGAUUUAAAAGUGGAAUAACUUUUUCAUCCCAACUCCUAUGGGAUUUAUUCAACUUCCUGGUCAUUCUUCACCACUUUAUGUAUCCAAAUCAAGUUCUUACAAAGUGAUUCAUCCUGCUUUGAUUGGAACAACGAAGAAGUUGUCCUAUUCCCAACAUGAUUUGAAAGUGAGAUAACUUCUUCAUCCCAACUCCUAUGAGAUUUAUUCAACUUCCUGGUCAUUCUCCACCACUUAAUGUAUCCAAAUCAAGCUUCUUUCAAAGUGAUUCAUCCUGGUUUGAUUGGAACGACGAAGAAGAUGUUCUAUUCCCAAA